AAAUAAAUAUUAAUAAAAUUCUCUUAAUUUUUCUUCACCUUUGUUUGAAAACAUAAUGGUAGAAGGUAGAAAGAAAUCGCAUGAUAACUUCGCCGGCUAAGGGGAGAGAUGACUUGAUGGUGGUGGCAUGAUGCUACCUUGAUUGAUGGUGGUUUCGAUUCGACUGUGAGAAGAGAAGAGAAAUGAGAAAGAGGAUAUGAGAUUUUAG
Molecule: unclassified non-coding RNA, 208 nt
Filed under: Hevea brasiliensis (rubber tree)
Lineage: Eukaryota; Viridiplantae; Streptophyta; Magnoliopsida; Malpighiales; Euphorbiaceae
Source: RNAcentral